Molecule: long non-coding RNA, 618 nt
Filed under: Olea europaea subsp. europaea
Lineage: Eukaryota; Viridiplantae; Streptophyta; Magnoliopsida; Lamiales; Oleaceae
Source: RNAcentral
GAAACUUGAUUAAUAUGCGGCUGGAACACAUCACCGAUGCCUAAAUUGCGAGCACAGAUUUGAGAAGUAUUUCGUGGUGGAGAAGGAAACUAAAAUUAAAGGGCGAUUAUUUCUUUGUUUCAUUAAGAAUUAUGGAUUUUGGGAUUGAGUUUUCAAAGAAGGUUCAAAUAGCCAAUCAUCUAGACCUAGCGCUUCCUCAAUUAACUUUACAACGGAUGAAACUUCCGGACAAAUAUCACACAUACUCCAAUCUCAAGUUCACAUCUCUGUUGAAGAAGAUCUACAAAUUAUAACGAAUGUGAAGGUCUGCAAGGAAUCGUCAAAGUGAGUUGAGAAGGGAAGUGGUCGACCUGAUUAGUGGCUAUUUAUCAAUCUAGUGGUUAUUACAUAAUAUUUUGUAUGAGGUCAAAAUAUUUUCAGCGAAGAUAUGUUAACUAUAUUUGUAAACUAUAUUAAUUUACAAGACUAGUCUCAAAGUGCUAUCCUCUUUGUAUAAUCUACAGAAAAUCUACCUUUUAGUUUAUCUAUUAGUGCUUUCUAUAUCCAUUUUGCGAGAUAGAUUAGUCUCAAGUGCUAUCCUCUUUGUGUAAUCUACAGUAAUAUUUGGAUGCCCAUGAG